Molecule: ribosomal RNA, 454 nt
Filed under: uncultured bacterium
Lineage: Bacteria
Description: partial 16S ribosomal RNA
Rfam family: Bacterial small subunit ribosomal RNA
Source: RNAcentral
GAUGAACGCUGACAGAAUGCUUAACACAUGCAAGUCAACUUGAACUUCGGUUUGGGUGGCGGACGGGUGAGUAACGCGUAAAGAACUUGCCUCACAGAUAGGGACAACAUUUGGAAACGAAUGCUAAUACCUGAUAUUAUGAUUAUAUGGCAUCGUAUAAUUAUGAAAGCUAUAUGCGCUGUGAGAGAGCUUUGCGUCCCAUUAGCUAGUUGGAGAGGUAACGGCUCACCAAGGCGAUGAUGGGUAGCCGGCCUGAGAGGGUGAUCGGCCACAAGGGGACUGAGACACGGCCCUUACUCCUACGGGAGGCAGCGUUGGGGAAUAUUGGACAAUGGACCAAGAGUCUGAUCCAGCAAUUCUGUGUGCACGAUGAAGUUUUUCGGAAUGUAAAGUGCUUUCAGUUGGGAAGAAAAAAAUGACGGUACCAACAGAAGAAGUGACGGCUAAAUACGUG